GGGACCCGCACAAGCGGUGGAUGAUGUGGAUUAAUCGAUGCAACGCGAAAACCUUACCUACCCUUGACAUGUCCGGAAUCCCGAAGAGAUUUGGGAGUGCUCGCAAGAGAGCCGGAACACAGGUGCUGCAUGGCUGUCGUCAGCUCGUGUCGUGAGAUGUUGGGUUAAGUCCCGCAACGAGCGCAACCCUUGUCAUUAGUUGCCAUCAUUUGGUUGGGCACUCUAAUGAGACUGCCGGUGACAAACCGGGGGAAGGUGGGGGAUGACGUCAAGUCCUCAUGGCCCUUAUGGGUAGGGCUUCACACGUCAUACAAUGGUCGGUACAGAGGGUUGCCAACCCGCGAGGGGGAGCUAAUCCCACAAAGCCGAUCGUAGUCCGGAUCGCAGUCUGCAACUCGACUGCGUGAAGUCGGAAUCGCUAGUAAUCGUGGAUCAGCAUGUCACGGUGAAUACGUUCCCAGGUCUU
This 466-nucleotide ribosomal RNA is filed under the name uncultured Rhodocyclaceae bacterium. RNAcentral describes it as "bacterial SSU rRNA". It matches the Rfam family "Bacterial small subunit ribosomal RNA", at positions 916 to 1382 of the family's 1533-position model. The record is from RNAcentral. Lineage: Bacteria; Pseudomonadati; Pseudomonadota; Betaproteobacteria; Rhodocyclales; Rhodocyclaceae.